This is a non-coding RNA of Danio rerio (zebrafish), 73 nucleotides long. The record is from Rfam. NCBI's taxonomy places the organism in Eukaryota, Metazoa, Chordata, Actinopteri, Cypriniformes, Danionidae.
GGGGAAUUAGCUCAAAUGGUUAAGUGCUCGCUUUGCAUGCUAGAGGUAGCGGGAACAAUGCCUGCAUUCUCCA